RNAcentral lists this ribosomal RNA (253 nucleotides) under uncultured bacterium. RNAcentral describes it as "partial 16S ribosomal RNA". It matches the Rfam family "Bacterial small subunit ribosomal RNA", at positions 524 to 776 of the family's 1533-position model. The record is from RNAcentral.
GACGGGGGAUGCAAGCGUUAUCCGGAGUUACUGGGCGUAAAGCGCACGCAGGCGGUCUUUUAAGUUUGGAGUGACAGUUGGUGGCUUAACUGCCAAAGUGCUUCGAAAACUGACAGACUUGAGGGCUUCAGAGGGACACGGAAUUCCGGGUGGAGUGGUGAAAUGCGUAGAUAUCGAGAGGAACACCGGUGGCGAAGGCGGCCAACUGGACGAAUACUGACGCUGAGACUCGAAAGCGUGGGGAGCAAACAGG